This 243-nucleotide long non-coding RNA is filed under the name Ananas comosus (pineapple). RNAcentral describes it as "long non-coding RNA (ACOM_LNC029923)". Lineage: Eukaryota; Viridiplantae; Streptophyta; Magnoliopsida; Poales; Bromeliaceae. The record is from RNAcentral.
GAAUCAGGAUUACGAGCUUUAAGAAUAAUAACUAAAUUUAAAUAUUUUGAGCUAAUGAUUUAAGUGUAAUAUGUACGUUAUUAGUAUUAAUGGGAUAGGAUGUUAUAUUUGGUAUCAUUGUAUUUAUUAUUAAACCUGCUUUACCGGCCGAAAGUCUAUAAUGUCUCUCAUAUAUCGUUUAGUGAUUCUGAGUUAGAAAAUAUUUUUUUACAGUGCCUAUAUAAGAAAAAAAAAAAAGAAAAU